CAACAUUCAUCUACUAUGAUUGCCAAAUUAUGGAUCCUAAUGUUGGUGCAAUUUUUGAAUCCAACCAUCAUGUAGGCAUAAUAUUUACCAAUCCUGCGAAAUUCAAUGAAAUCAAAACAAAGACUGGCCAAUAGCUCGUCAUUUUGAAAGUGCUAUUUCGAAACUGUAUUAUAAAUUUCCUAUGGCCUCCAAUUAUCGAGUGUAUAAAAUAUUGGAACUUUCUGGUGAUGAGGAUAUCGAGGCAAUGGUAUAUACACAUACCAACUUUGAGGACCUUCAUGUUGUGGACUUGUAUGCGGAGUUACAUGAAAAUAAUCCUGCUCGUAAGGUAUACACUCAAUCAUUAUCAUCAACAACUCCAAUAACUGAUGCUACUAUUAUAAAUCAAUGAAUUCCACAUUUUAACCCAAACAUUGAUGAAGCUACAUCCUUCAUGGGUAGACGAUCUUCUACAUUUUAGCAUGAGUUUGACUUAAAUGUUGGAUUUGAAUAUUGCAGUGAUUAUGUAGCCACAUUGUCAUAUGUUAGCAACACGUUCAAUUAUCCAACACAAAUUGUGGUUACUGAUAUACAACCAUUAGUUGUUGGUUUUCAGCACAACUUUGGGUUACCAAAUGUACAAGGUGAAAGACCCAAUGAGAAGGAGGUCCUAAAUGCUCAUGUGGAUGAAUUCAGUGACUGAUUUUGAUGAAGUUACUGAUGACGAUGUAAAUGAAAAUCUAAUUCGUGAAUACAAUGACUUUCCUCAACCCUACAAGCAUGGCAAUGGCAUGGUGAUCGACUUCGAUCCUAAUAACCAUUUAAUGAAUGUUGACCCCAAUAUUGCCCAUGCACUUGAGUUUCCAAAAUACCCAUAAUUUUGCCACUCCAUCAGGUGUUGGAUGAUGAGGAAUUGGAAAAACUCAGAGUUAGGUUAGAAUACGAUGAAAAAGAAAGUUAUGUUGCUAUAGUAAAUUAGUACAACUUAAAGGUAUUCGUCAACUACAGAUUCACAAUGUCAAAUCCCAAAUUAUAUGUGAGAGAGUGUUGGAAUGCAUCCGAAGGUUGUAGGUGGAGGGCCAAGACAUCUUUUGUGAAUAAAUCACAAAUGUGAAAGACUUAAAAUUAUGAAGGCCUUGCACUUGUACUGUGACAUGGUUAACUCAAUAUCAUCGAAAGUUAGAUGCCAAGGUAAUCAAUCACUGUAUCAAGCCUUUGAUCGAGGCAAAACUCACUAUUUUGAUUUUUGGGUUGGUGGCAUCUAUGCAAACCCAUUAUCGGUAUAAUUUUCAUAUCGAAAAAUAUGAUAUGCUAAACAAAUUACCAUGAAAGAGUUGUCAAUAAUGCGCUAGUAUGUCUCUAGAACUGUGAUCAAGAUGCAAAUUAUGAAUGCGUACGACCAGGAUGGCAAAGAAGUGCUAAGGUCUCAAAUCUUCCAUUAACUAUUCUAGACAUCUGAACCUUCCCUUUUUGUAAGCCCAUAUUUCAGGUUGAUGGUACUUGGCUCUACGGAAAAUAUAAGUAGAUAUUUCUUAUAGCCAUGGAAUAGGAUAGGAAUCGAAAUGUUUUGUCAAUCGCCUUUUCCAUUGUAGAUAAAGAAAACAUGAAGUUGUAAGAGUUUUUCUGUAACACCUGGGUAUCUUUAUUACCCCAAAAUUUAAGGAAAGUUAGGACUAAAUUGAAAGGAUUAGUAAAUUGUUAGACUCCACUAGGAAAUUUAGAAAUUUUAGUAGAUGAAUUUUGAUUAGUUGGAUCUCAAUCCUGGUUCGGUUAGGAUGGAACCAACUGGUUCCAAAGCAGGAGACAAAAUGAUUAAGGAGGAAUGGUAGAGACGGUCAAAGAAAUCAUGCUAAAGAUGUAUAUAUAUAAUAGUGUGUGGAAACAAAAUUUUCUCAAUUUUAUUUAUCAAAUUUUUACUCUAAAGUAUCAUCUUCUUCAGUCACUCUAAAAAAAAAUCGGAUUUAGCUGAAGGAAGCUCUACAUGCUGCAAUAAUCAUUUGAAUUGAAGUCUGAUAGUAGGGAAAUUGAGGAACUGAUAAGCUUCCUUUGUAACACCCUUUACCCGUACCCGAGACCAAGACUAGGUACGAGGCGUUACCAGGCAUGUACUUGAACAUUUUCGGGAAAUACGGGUUAUAAAAUUUCGUUCCGAUUUGAAACCAAUCCAAUAGCAUCUUGGUGUCUCUAUUAUGAACCUACGAGGCUCAAACGUACAUUGAAAUUGAUCCGGGACUAAACCGAGGACCUAAUAAAAAUUUAAGAAAAAUUCUGAGUUAAUGUCUCACAUGCCCGUGUAGAGACAUUGCACACGCCCGUGUGCUUUGGGACACGCACGUGUCCCCUACCCUUGUGGAGUUAAUUGAAUUUAUUUUCUAAUUUGAACCUACAGGGGUUUUCACACGGUCAAGCACAUGCCCGUGUCUCUGGCCCGUGUCCUUCACACGGCCUUGACAUGCCCGUGUCCAAAAAUUUGAGCAUUCUAUUUAUGACGUCAACAUGUAUUUAAGGGCACACGGUCAAGACACACGCUCAUGUGUUAGGUCGUGUCCUCCACACGAUUGAGACACACGGCCGUCUCUCUACUUGUGUGUUUACUACCAUGCGUUCAGACUUAAAAUUUUAGGUGUAGGGGACGCACGGUUAUGCCACAUGCCCAUGGGGUGGUCCGUGUGUCACACACGGUCUAGAUACAUGCCCGUGUGGACCAUGUUAGGCUAUUUUCCAAGCCUUUGGUCACCCUCUAACAUAUGUUCUCACUUAUAGGUUUCCAUAACAUAUAGCCAGGCCUAAUUAUACUCUCAAAUGACCUCGAUGAACAUCAUUGCAUGUAAACCUCAUUUCAUCGGUCUUACACAUGCUAGGAUUAUUUCUGUUGUAUCAAGAAUGUCUAUGCCUUAUAACACAUUCAAGAUUGGCUCAUUAUUAUAACUCAUUGCAAAUUAUGGUCUAGCCAUCCCAUGUGAUUCGGUCAUUGUACAUGUGUAUCUACUUGUGAUACGCCAUGUUGAUUCAUCUCAAUGACAUUAGAACACAAAUAUGCAUAACUAUGUAGGUCAUACCUUAUAACAAAAUGAGCCAAAUACUAUGGCCAUAUGCAUGUGGACAUGUACACCUUACAAGCCUUCAUUUGGCUAAUCAAAUGACACAUAUUACAAAAUUAACAAAAGCCCUAUACAUGCCAUUGAACAAAAUAAGAGUAUCUAUAUACCAAAGCUAGAUAAGAAGAUAGUGUGUUGACUCUCCAAUCGUCUUCCAAUCUUCGUAAGUCCACUAGCUCUAUAAGAAGGGGAAAAGAGAGGGGUAAGCAUUUACAUGCUUAGUAAGCCCGAAUAAUUGGAAAAUAAACUUACCGAUUUGUUUAGCAUGCAACCAUAUUAGGAAAAUAAACCAACAAGUAUGGAAUGGUUUCCCUAUCACACACACUUCAUCAACAAGUCAGUCACAUAACAUCACACCAUGUAACUUAUCUAAGAUGAGCUCAUCAUUCAAAAUUUUCAUUUUUGUAUCUCAUAUUAAUCCCGUUGAGUUACUUGGAAAAUCUCGAUGGAUUAUCCAUUUACCGUCAAUUCAUUAGAGCAAUCAUCUCAUGUAUGCACUCCUGCGAAUCUCACAUCUUACGGUGGGAUUACGAGUCUGGGCUAAAUCCUUUAUGCGACAAACACCCUCAAUGAGCUCGGAUCUGAAUUACCAGUCCAGGCUAAAUUCAGACUCUAAUCGAAUUACUCGUCAGGGCUAAAUCCACAAUGCACGCAUAUUCUUCGGGAGGCUCGAUCACUCAAGGAACACCCGUCCGGGCUAGAUCCUUUCUACAUUUGAGAUCAACGGAUUACCUGUCCAGGCUAAAUCCUUUUCUGCAACACAUGCAGGAUCUCAAGUCAUGUAAGCCAUGGUUUAUCCAUCGAAUUUCCCUUUUUACUUCAAUCGAGACAUUUACUAUCAUAUCAUUGUUAUUGACAUAUUUCAUGGAUUUUCAUGUCAUCAUUAUAACUAAAUAUCAUGCAUUCAUAACACACAUAAUUAGUCAUAUUAAUAGUUUACUUAAAGUUAUUCGAACUUACCUGGUAUUCGUCUCGGUUUUGCGUUUCGGUUAUUCCGGAACCUUUUGUUUUCCUCGAUCGACCUCCAGAAUUUGCUUCUCGGGGUCUAUAACAAUAAAAAUGAAUCAUCAAUACCUCACAUUAUUCUUUUUGAGCCUAAAUUUCACCCCAGAAAAAAUGAUUGUUUUGCCCCUAACCUUUCACAUUUUUACGAUUUAGUCCCUAGGCUUGUAUAAUAAAAUGCAUGCAAUUUCUACCUUACCCAAGCCUAGCCGAUUGUUCUUUCCUCUUAUGGCAACCCACAUUUCUCCAUUAUUUCACAUUUUUACCACAUAUUUUACACCUUUUGCAAAAAGGUCCUUUUAAGGGUUUUUAAUGAAAAUCACCUAGAAAAAGAUGUUUAACACACAUACAACUUUCAUAUUCCUCCAUAAAAAAUCAAAGAAUAAACAUGUCACACAUGGUUCACUUUACAAACAUGAACCCUAACUCAAAAUUUGGGUAGAAAUGGAAAGAGUAAGCUACCGGGAUUUCAAAAAUGUGAAGAACAUUAAAAAAGGGGGGGGCUUGGGAGCACUUACUAUUGAGCUUGAAAAUGUUGAAAACCUUAGCUAUGGAGGGCUUGAAAAAUUCGGCUAGAUGAGGGAGAAGAAUGGCUGAUUUUUUCCUUCAUUUUCCCAUUUUAUUUCAUUAAUUAGCCAAAUGACCAAAAUACCCUUAAGCCCUUUCUUUAAGAUUUUAUCCAUACAUGCCCAUUUUUGUCCAAAAACUUAAAAAUUGGAAAAAUUUCUCUUUAAGACCUUCUAAUUAAUAAUCUAAAACAAUUUCAGACAAAUUUCUUCUAGAAUCCAAGUUUUUCAAUUUAUUCAAUUUAGUCCUUAUUUUCGAAUUAGACACCUUACUCAUAGAAAUUCCUCAUGAAACUUUAACACAUGCAUAUUUUCAUAUUCUAGACCUCAUAAUAAUUAUAAAUUAAAUAUUUCAACGUUGAAUUUGUGGUCUCGAAACCACUAUUCCAACUAGGCCCUAUUUUGGGACGUUACAUUUCUCCCCCAUUUUGGGACUUUCGUUCUCGAAAGUCUUACCAAUAAACAGGUUCAGAUAUUGGCUUCUCAUGGUUUCUUCUGGCUCCCAUGUAGCCUCUUCUACACCAUGUCGAUGCCAUAAAACUUUUACCAAAGCCACAUCUUUAUUUCUCAGCUAUUUAACCUCACGAGCCAAAAUCUUGACCGGUUCCUCACCAUAAGUCAUGUCUGGUCUAAUUUCAAUCUAAGCUGGUGAAAUUACAUGAGAGGGGACUGAUCGAUAUCGCCUUAACAUGGAUACAUGGAACACAUCGUGAAUCUUUUCCAGUUCGAGUGGCAAUGCCAAACGAUAGGCUAAUGGUCCAACUCUUUCAGUGAUCUCGUAUAGUCCGGUAAAUCAUGGACUCAAUUUGCCUUUCCAUCCAAAUCUCAAUACCUUUUUCCAUGGAGAUACUUUCAAGAAUACUCUAUCUCUAAUUUGAAGUUUGAUCUCUUUUCUUUUCAAAUUAGCAUAUGACUUUUUCCUAUUCGAUGCCGCUUUUAAAUAGUCACGUAUCUCUUUAACCUUUUCUUCAGUUUCCUUGAUCAAAUCAACUCCGUGAAUCUGAUUCUCCUUGAGUUCCGUCCAAUUAAAUGGAGUUUGGCACUUCCUGCCAUACAAGGCCUUGUAAGGUGCCAUAUUCAAACUCGUUUGAAAGCUGUUGUUGUAGGCGAACUCUACCAAUGGCAGGUAUUUUUCCUAGCUGCCCUGAAAUUCAAGGAUGCAACAUCGCAACAUAUCCUCUAGAAUCUGAGUCAUCCGCUCAGACUGACCAUCAGUCUGCAGGUGAAAAGCAUUACUAAAGCUCAAUUUUGUACCCAAGGCUUCUUGUAACUUCUUCUAGAAUCUCGAAGUGAAUCUCGGGUCUCUGUCUGAAAUAAUCAAUAGCGGUACCCUGUGUAAUCUCACAAUAUCAGAUAUAUACAAGUCGGCCAACUUGUCAAGUGAAUAAUCUAUCCUUACCGGAAUAAAAUGAGCUGACUUUGUCAACUUAUCAACCAUAACCUAUAUAGCAUCUUUCUUUUUUGGGGUCAAUGGUAAUCCUGUCACAAAAUCCAUAGUGAUUCUGUCCCAUUUCCAUUCGGGGACCAUCAUAAGCUGUAGCAAACUAGAAGGUACUUGAUGUUCAGCCUUGACUUGCUGGCAUAUCAAGUAUUUCGAUACAAAUUCAGAGAUGUCUCUUUUCAUGCCAUUCCACCAGUACAUUUUCUUUAAAUCAUUGUACAUUUUGGUACUUCCAGGAUGAAUAGAAAAAUGGCUAUCAUGUGCUUCUUGCAAGAUUUUCUGAAUAAUUUCAUUAUUCCUCGGUACACAAACUUUGUCUCUGAACAUCAAACAUCCAUUGGGACUAACCUGAAAAUCUGAUUCAAUGCCCAACUCACAUUGAGCUCUGUUAGCCUGCAAGUUACUAUCAUUAGUCUAAGCAUCAUAAAUUUCCUAAAGAAAUAUCAUCUUGACCCUUAACUCUGCCAAGACCGAACCAUCAUCAAACAACGCCAAUCGAGUGUUCAUGGCCCUCAAUGCAAAUAAAUAUUUUCUGAUCAACGCGUCGGUUACCACAUUCACCUUUCCCGGAUGAUAAUCGAUGAUCAGCUCGUAGUAUUUAAUUAAUUCUAACCAUCCCUGCUGUCUCAGAUUCAGUUCUUUUUGAGUCAUUAAAUACUUCAAGCUCUUAUGGCCUGUGAAUAUAUGACAAGUCUCACCAUAUAAGUAAUGCCUCCAGAUUUUCAAGGCAAAAACAAUGGCCGCGAGCUCUAAGUCAUGCGUCAGAUAAUUGUUCUCGUGUGGCUUCAACUACCACGAAGCAUAGGCUAUCACCUUGCCAUCUUGCAUAAGUACACAACACAAUCCAUUUAAGGAUGCAUCACUAUAGACCACAAACUCUUUUCCCAACUCAGACAAUACUAAAACUGGAGCUUCAGUCAGCAAUGUCUUCAACUUUUCGAAACUCUACUGGCACUUCUCUGUCCAUUCAAAACUUAACAUCUUACUGUAGUAACCUCGUCAUCGGAGUCGCGAUCAUGGAGAAUCCUUUCCCAAAUCUUUGGUAGUAACCGGCUAAGCCCAAAAAGCUUUUAACCUCGGUUACAUUUUUAGGUGGUUUCCAUUCAACAAUUACAGAGAUUUUACUUGGAUCAACUCGAAUGCGAUCACCUAAAACAAUAUGACCCCAAAACCCUACUUUUUGGAGCCAAAAUUCACUCUUGCUAAACUUAGCAUACAAUUGCUUUUCCUGUAAAGUCUGCAACAUAGUCCUUAAAUGCUUCGCAUGUUCCAUCUCAUCCUUGGAAUAAAUCAAAAUGUCAUCAAUGAACAAAACGAUAAAUUUGUCCAAGUAUGGUCGAAAUAUCCUAUUCAUUAGGUCUAUAAAUACGGCCGGUGCAUUCGUUAACCCAAACAGCAUGAUAAGAAAUUCAUAGUGGCCAUACCUCGUUCUAAAAGCUGUCUUUGGCAUGUCCGACUCCUUAACUCGCAACUAAUAGUAGCAGGAUCUCAAGUCUAUCUAAGAGAAUACAGUAACUCCCUUCAACUGGUCAAACAAACCAUCGAUCCUUGGGAAAGGAUACUUAUUCUUGAUAGUCACCUUGUUUAAUUGCCAAUAAUCUAUACACAGCCUCAUUGAACCAUCUUUCUUCUUUACAAAUAAUACAGGAGCACCCCAAGGCGAAAAGCUUGGCCUUGCAAAAUAUUUAUCCAUCAGCUUUUGCAACUGUGCUUUUAAUUCUUUUAGCUCGAUUGGUGCCAUCCUAUACGGAGCAAUAAAAAUAGGAGCUAUCCCUGGCACCAGUUCAAUACCAAACUCUAUCUCUCUUUCAGGAGGUAAUCUAGGUAAUUCCUCCGAGAACACAUCUGGAUAUUCACAUACUAUUGGCACGGACCCAAACUUCAACUCCAUUUCCUUAGUGUUUAGUACAAAAGCAAGGUAGGAUUCAUACCCUUUUCUAAUAUAUUUUUGAGCAACCAUUGCUGUGAUUACAACCGGUGGUGUAUCCAAUUCUCUUAAAACAACUCGUAGAACCUUACCAUCUGGGCUCUUCAAUUUAAUAUACUUGCUACUACAAUUUACAAUUACAUCAUAUAGGGCUAACCAAUCCAUGCCAAGUAUUACAUCAAACUCAUCAAAUGAAAAUAACAUAAGGUUAGCCGGAAAACAAUGACCCUGAAUCGUCAAAGGACAAUUCUUACAUACUUUAUCAACCAAGACUGACUUGCCUAAUGGGUUCGACACUCUGAUUAUAAAUUCCGUAGGUUCAAUGGGUAUAUUCAUACUAGACACCAACCUCAUACAAAUGUAUGAAUACGUUGACCCCGGAUCAAUUAAGGCAACAACAUAAGUAUUAAAAAGAGAAAAGGUACCCGUGAUAACGUCAGGAGCAGAGGUUUUCUCUUAAGCGCGUAUUACAUACGUUCUUGCCGGGGCUCGAGUCUCUGAUUUCAUGGUGUAUUUGGCCGCAACUCGACUGCCACUAACACUUUCAGGAUAUUUCGGAGGUCUACCUCGUGGAAUAAGAGCACUCAAUUUUGGGGUUACUUCCACCUCUUUAUCGGUUAGCUCUGGGCAGUCUCUAAGGAAGUGGUCAAGAGAACAACAUCUAUAACACGCACCGCUCUUCAUCCGACUCUCUCCGAAGUGAAAUUUAUUAUAGUUUUUACACUUCAGCUUUUGGUUAUCUACACUCCCCACACCAGUCACCAUCGGGGAGGAAGACUUCUGAUUACGUCGUUUGGAGCCUCUCACUUUACCUGAAUAUCCUACCGAUGAAGUGGAGCAUUCAUAUUGGCUCAUCGAUUUCUUUGUGAGAAAUGAGAGCGUCUUACCGCUAGAUCUCUUGCUCGCAACUUGAGCUUCUCUAUUAACUUGUUUCUUUUCAUUAUUGAGUUCCUCAACUUUCUUGGCCCGAUCAGCUAAUGCAGCAAACUCUCGUAUCUCAAGAAUCUCAAUCAAUAGCUUGAUUUCCUCAUUCAGACUUUCCUCGAAGCGUUUACAUAUUUCGGACUCGGUUUGAACUCAUUCAGUUGUAUACUGACUUAGCCUUACAAACUCCCUUUCGUAUUCCGCUACAGUCUUAUUUCUUUGUUUGAGUUCCAAGAACUCCUUCUGUUUUGAGUUUAAGAACCUUUGGCUGAUGUAUUUCUUCUUAAACUCCGCUUGGAAAAAUUCCCAAGUGACGUUUUCCUUUAGCACCACUGAAGAUACGGUCUUCCCCCAGUGGUAUGCAGUAUCUUUUAGGAGUGACACGGUACAAUUUAAGUACUCCUCAGGUGUGCACGAUAAUUCGUCUAAUACUUGUGUAGUAUUCUCGAGCCAGAACUUGGCUUUCUCAGCAUCAUCAUUGAUCAUAGCUCUGAAUUCCUCAGCCCCGUACUUUUUAAGUUUAUCUAUAGGGGCUUUACCAAUUCUUACAGGUGCCAUAACUCGUGGCAAUUCCUCAUCAGGUUGGUUAGGGGCAGGGGAGGUCGUGGUAUGUUGGGGCGAUUCCUCAAAUAAUCCCCAAACCACUAAUCCAUCAUGUCAAAAAAGGCGGCUCUAGCCUUUUCAUGACCUUCAGACAUAGGCCUUCAACUACUGCUAGAAACAGCUCGUUGUACGGAAGUUAGAGCAUGGCUCUCAGCUCCCUUGGACUUAUCUUGUACUUAAUUAAAAGACAUUUACUAUAUUCAAAGAUAAUUAAACAAUUAGGAGAUAUCACACUAUCAACGUUCAUAUAAUGCCAUGUAUAGCUAAACUCGAUGCACUCUACGGUAGUCCUAAAACCGACUAAAUCAUAGCUCUGAUACCACUAAAUCUAACACCCCUUACCCGUACCCGAGACCAGGACCAGGUACGAGGCAUUACCAGGCAUGUACUUGAACAUUUUAGGAAAUACGAGUUACAAAAUUUCGUUCCAAUUUGAAACCAAUCCAAUAGCAUAUUGGUGUCUCUAUUAUGAGCCUACGAGGCUCAAACGGCCUUGACAUGCCCGUGUCCAAAAAUUUGAGCAUUCUAUUUAUGACGUCAGCAUGCAUUUAGGGGCACACGGUCAAGACACAUGCUCGUGUGUUAGGCCAUGUCCUCCACACGAUUGAGACACACGGUCGUGUCUCUACCCGUAUAUUUACUACCAUGCAUUCUGACUUAAAAUUUUAGGUGUAGGGAACGCACGGUUAUGCCACACGCCCAUGGGGUGGUCUGUGUGUCACACACGGUCUAGAAACAUGCCCGUGUGUCUACCUGUGUGGACCAUGUUAGGCUAUUUUCCAAGCCUUUGGUCACCCUCUAACAUAUGUUCUCACUUAUAGGUUUCCAUAACAUACAGCCAGGCCUAAUUAUACUCUCAAAUGACCUCGAUAAACCUCAUUGCAUGUAAUCCUCAUUUCAUCGGUCUUACACAUGCUAGGAUUAUUUCUCUUGUAUCAAGAAUGUCUAUGCCUUAUAACACAUUCAAGAUUGGCUCAUUAUUAUAACUCAUUGCCAAUUAUGGUCUAGUAAUCCCAUAUGAUUCAGUCAUGUUACAUGUGUAUCUACUUGUGAUACGCCAUGUUGAUUCAUCUCAAUAACAUUAGAGCACAAAUAUGCACAACUAUGUAGGUCAUACCUUAUAACAAAAUGAGCCAAAUGCUAUGGCCAUAUGCUAUGACCAUAUGCAUGUAGACAUGUACACCUUACAAGCCUUCAUAUUAGUUAGUCAAAUGACACAUAUUACAAAAUUAACAAAAUCCCUAUACAUGCCAUUGAGCAAAAUAAGAGUAUCUAUAUACCAAAGCCAGACAAGAUGAUAGUGUGUUGACUCUCCAAUCGUCUUUCAAUCUUCGUGAGUUCACGAGCUCUGUAAGAUAGGGGAAAGAGAGGGGUAAGCAUUUACAUGCUUAGUAAGCCUGAUAAACCAUAAUUUAUACAUAUUUUUAUCCCAUGCUUAACGCAUUUAUGAAUGGUUUUCACCUUAAAAUUGGUGAAUUCGAUGCUCCUAAUCCUUUAAUUUUAUGUUUCAAACUUAGGUGAGCAUAGGAGAGUAAAAAGAGCGGGAAACGGCACGAAAAGGGAGAAAAUGGACCAACUCGGGAAAUCAACACAGCCUGGACUUUCUCACACGAGCGUGUCCCACGUUCGUGUCCCUUUGGCAGGAUUGAAGCACGACUUACACGGGUGGAUCACACGGUCGUGCCCAUUUAACAGCCUUGACCACAGCCUUAAGUAAUCGCACACGGGCGUGUCCCUGCCGAGCCCAAGUUUAGUCCAAUUUGGAAAAGGCAAAUUUUGAGGGCUCUUUGGCAUUCCAAAGCCUAUAAAAACACCUGAUGAGGCACUUAGAGGGGGUACGCAGAGUAGGGAUCAAGGAAUUACUCAAGGGAAGCCGAUUGAUCCAUCUCAAAAGCCGAAUUCAUCAUCAAGACUGAAGUUCUCCCUUCAAGUUCCUUCAGGAGUUUUGGGUUUUCUUAUGUUUUGUUAUCUUUAUGCUUUUGAGAUGUUUUCUUUCAUAAGUAUAAACUAAACCCCCUAAAUACCUAAGGGGAAUAAAACCUAAGACGGAUCUUGUUAUUAUUAUCCGAAUUGUAUGAUAAAUAUUUGACUUGUUCUUAAUUAUGUGUUCUUAAUUCUUGUUUUGAUAUUCCAGGAUAUUGAUUCAAGUUAUGCUCUUAUUCAGAGGAGAAAUAAACCCUGUCUAAGAGUAAAUUUGUCAUAAUUAAGCGGAGUUGAUUGUGCGCCUAGAGAUAAGGUGACAACAUUUUGCUGGAUUAGGGUGAAACCUAAUAAGGGAAUCCAUAGAUCGAGUUAAUGCAAUUUUAGGGUGUUAAUUAGAAAGAGAUUUCAAUUAUUCAACCUAGGGUUAGACGUUAUUAGUCUUGAGAGAGAUAAUAAUAUAACUUAGGGAUUUCUACAGAUCAAGUCAAAUGAAUAAAUCGUCUGAUUCAGAGUCAAGUAACAAGUGAAGUCUAGGUGGAUUUUUCCUUAGUUAUUGUCUCAAUCAAUCGAAUUUUCCUAAAAGUAUUUUCCCAAGUUUUCUUUUUGUGCAUUCUUAGUUAAUAAUUAGUUUAGAUAACCAAACUUCUUAAUUUUUAGGCUAGAUAAUAAAAAGGAAGUAAAUACUAGUAUUCAUAGUUCCUUUGGGUUCGACAAUCCGGUCUUGCUAAACUAUACUAUUGUUCGAUAGGUACACUUGCCUUAAUCGUGAUAAUAAGUUAGUCUCAAGAACGAUUCAUUUAUAAAUCUUUAAAACCUGUUACGAAUAUCACGCAAUAAAAGCCCGAAUAACUGGAAAAUAAACUUACCGAUUUGUUUAGCAUGCAACCAUAUUAGGCAAAUAAACCAACAAGUAUGGAAUGGUUUCUUUAUCCUAUGCACUCCAUCAACAAGUUAGUCACAUAACAUCACACCAUGUAACUUAUCUAAGAUGAGCUCAUCAUUCAACGUUUUCAUUUUUAUAUCACAUAUUAAUCUCGUUGAGUUACUCAGAAAAUCUUGAUGGAUUAUCCAUUUACCGUCAAGUCAAAAGAGCGAUCAACUCAUGUAUGCACUCCUGCGAACCUCACAUCUUACAACGGGAUUACCAGUCCAGGCUAAAUCCCCCGUAAUGUAAACUCAUAAGAUGAUAUUGGGAUUACCAAUUCAGGUUAAAUCCAUUAUAGCGACAAACACCCUCAAUGAACUCGGAUCUGAAUUACCAGUCCAGGCUAAAUCCAAACCUUAAUCGGAUUACCUGUUCGGGCUAAAUCUACAAUGCACACAUAUUCUUCAGGAGGCUCGAUCACUCAAGGAACACCAUACGAGCUAGAUCCUUUAUACAUUUGAGAUCAACGAAUUACCCGUCCAGGCUAAAUCCUUUUCUGCAACACAUGCAGGAUCUCAAGUCAUGUAAGCCAUGGUUUAUCCAUCGAAUUUUCCUUCUUACUUUAACCGGGACAUUUAUUAUCAUAUCAUUAUUAUUGACAUAUUUCAUGGAUUUUCAUGCCAUCAUUAUAACUAAAUAUCAUGCAUUCAUAACACAUGUAAUUAGGCAUAUUAAUAGUUUACUUAAAGUUAUUCGAACUUACUUGGUAUUCGUCUCGGUUUCGCGUUUCGGUUAUUCCAAAACCUUUUGUUUUCCUCGAUCGACCUUCGAAAUUUGCUCCUCGGGGUCUAUAAUAAUAAAAAUGAAUCAUCAAUACCUCACAUUAUUCUUUUUGAGCCUAAAUUUCACCCCCAGACAAAAUAACCAUUUUUCCCCUUACCUUUCACAUUUUUACUAUUUAGUCCCUAGGCUCGUAUAAUAAAAUGCACGCAAUUUCUACCUUACCCAAGCCUAGCCGAUUGUUCUUUUCUCUUAUGGCAGCCCAUAUUUCUCCAUUAUUUCACAUUUUUACCACAUAUUUUACACCUUUUGCCAAAAGGUCCUUUUAGGGGUUUUUCAUGAAAAUCACUUAGAAAAAGAUGUUUAACAAACAUACAACUUUCAUAUUCCUCCAUAAAACAUCAAAGAAUAAACAAGUCACACAUGGGUCACUUUACAAACAUGAACCCUAACUCAAAAUAUGGGUAGAAAUAGAGAGAGUAAGUUACCGGGAUUUCAAAAAUGCGAAGAACAUUAAAAACGAGGCUUGGGAGCACUUAUUAUUGAGCUUGAAAAUGCUGAAAACCCUACCUAUGGAGGGCUUGAGAAAUUCGGCUCGAUGAGGGAGAAGAAUGACUGAUUUUUUCCUUCAUUUUCCCAUUUUAUUUCAUUAAUUAGCCAAAUGACCAAAAUGCCCUUAAGUCCUUUUUUUAAUAUUUUUUCCAUACAUGCCCAUUUUUAUCCAAAAACUUAGGAAUUGGGAAAAUUUCUAUUUAAGACCUUAUAAUUAAUAAUAUAAAGCAAUUUCAUACAAAUUUCUUCUAGAAUCCAAGUUUUGCAAUUUAUUCAAUUUGGUCCUUAUUUUCCAAUUGGACACCUUACUCGUAGAAUUUCCUCAUGAAACUUUAACACAUGCAUAUUUUCAUAUUCUAGACCUCAUAAUAAUCAUAAAAUAAAUAUUUCAACAUCAAAUUUAUGGUCCCGAAACCACUGUUCUGACUAGGCCCUAUUUUAGGAUGUUAUAUCCUUACCCUUCUAAACUCAUGGAUUAAAAGAAGUAGAGUAAGAACUCUUGCAAGCUUUUGUACAACAAUGGAUUCUAAUUUUUAUGGGUUGAACACCUUUAGUUUAACCGAUAAAUGGUUUUCAUGCUUAACUGGCAGGACAAAGGAGGCUCUAACGUACAGGACAAAGGGUAAAUAGAUUUGUUAUUAUUGAUGACUAUUCUAGAUAUACAUGGGUUUUCUUUUAUUUUCAAAAGAUGAAGCUUUAGAAAACAUUAUUAAUUUUUGUAAAAUGGUACAAAAACAAAUGGGAUAUUCAAUUUUUCAAGUGUAAGAAGUGAUCAUGGAAAAGAAUUUGAAAACUUUGGCUUUGAUAAUUUUUGUAAUGAACAUGGUAUUAGUCACAAUUUUUUGGAACCUAAAACCCCUCAACAAAAUUAAGUUUUUGAGAGGAAAAAUAGGACCUUAGAGGAAAUAGCUAGAACCAUGUUAUGUGAAAAUAAUUAGCCAAUAUAUUUUUUGACGGAAGCCAUAAACACUUUUUGCUAUAUUAUAAAUAGAGCUAUGGUUAGGCCUAUUUUAAAGAAAACUCCUUAUGAACUUUUUAAAGGAAGAAAGCCUAACAUAAGUCAUUUUCAUCCUUUUGGUUGCAAGUGUUUUGUUUUGAAUAAUGGAAAAUAAAAUUUAGGAAAUUUUGAUGCCAAAAGUGAUGAAGGUAUUUUUCUUGGUUAUUCCAUAAAUUCUAAAGCUUAUGGAAUUUUUAGCAAGAGAACCAUUGUUGUAGAAGAAUCUAUACAUGUUAUUUUUAAUGAAUCUAACUCUCCUUUUAGAAAUGAAUCUAUUGAUUUUGAUGAUGUAAAAAUAUAUCAAGUUGAGAAAAAUCAAGCAUCAUAUGAAGAUCAAGGUGUAAGUGAGUUGGUUCAAGAACUCAAAAUUAAUGAACUCCAAGAACCAACUCAAGUUGAAAGAGAAUCUAGCCACACAAGAAAGCUUUCAUAUGUUAUGGAUGGACACGUCAUUGGUGAUCCAUCUAAAACGGUAAUUACUAGAUCUUCAAUUAGAAAUACUUGUAAUUAUGUUGCUUCCAUUUCUUGCAUAAAACCUAAAAACAUUGAUGAUGUUUUAAAUGAUGAAUUUUGGAUAAUGGCUAUGCAAGAAAAUUUAAAUCAAUUUGAAAGAAAUCAAGUAUGAAAUUUAGCUGAUAGACCUAGUGAUCAUCCAACUAUAGGAACUAAAUGGGUCUAUAGAAAUAAACUUGAUGAAAAUGGUAACAUUGUUAGAAACAAUGCUAGAUUAGUUGCCAAAGGAUAUAGCCAAGAGGAUGGUAUAGAGUAUGAUGAAACUUAUGCACUGGUAACUAGGUUAGAAGCCAUUAGGAUGUUAUUAGCUUUUGCAUGUUCAAACAAUUUUAAACUUUUUCAAAUAGAUGUCAAAAGUGCAUUUUUAAAUGGUUUCAUAAAUGAAGAAGUUUAUGUUGAACAACCUAUCGGUUUUGAAAAUCCAAAAUUUUCAAAUCAUGUUUUCAAAUUUCCUGAAGCUCUAUAUGGUUUGAAACAAGCUCAUAAAGCUUGGUAUUAAAAGUUUUCCAAAUUUUUAAUUGAAAAUGGCUUUAGAAGAAGCAAAGUAGACACCACUUUUUUCAUAAAAAUUAAAGACAAAGACAUUUUAGCAGUACAAAUUUAUAUUGAUGAUAUUAUAUUUGGUGCUACUAAUGAACUUCUUUGUCAAGAAUUUUCUAAGAUUAUGCAAGGUGAAUUUGAGCUGAGCAUGAUGGGUGAGUGAUAAAUGAUAAAACUAACAUAUUUUAAUCCCAUUCUUAAUGCAUAGUUGGAUGAUUAUUUAUGCAAAUUGGUGAAUUUGAUACUCCUAAUCCUUUUAAUUCAGACUAUUAUACUUAGGUGAGCAUUUAGGAGCAAAAGGAGCGAAGAGAAAAAGAGCAUAUUUUAGAAGCCACACAGGCUAGGCACACACCCGUGUGACUCACACAGGCUAGACACACGCCUAUAUGCUAGCACAUGUCAAUUUUGCACCAUGCUUCCCAAAUAUGUGGAAAAACACAACUUUUAGGCUUUCUAAGCAUUCUAAAGUCUAUAAAUACCAAUUAGAAGAAGAGAUAUGAGAGCCAUCAGAGAAUAUCGAAGAAAACAUGUAAUACCUCGAAAUUUUCUUACAGUAAGAUAUUAUCCUUGAUAUAGUAAAAUAAGGAAAUAAAGUGAAAAAAAUGAAAAUUUUGAGUUAUGUAAAUAUUGGGAAGUAUAUUAUGAUAUAUUAAUUCAAGAAAUGACUAAAUUGUAAAAGUGAGAAAAGUUUUGUUGCACAAGAGUAAAUACUCAAAAUUUGAGGGGUUAAAGUGUAAACAUGAAAAAAUUGAAUGACUAAUAGUGUAAAUAUUUUAAGGGUGUAACGAUCUAGAAACUAAGGAAAAUGGAUGAAUUAGGACCAAAUUGAAGAGGUGAAGAAUUAUGAGGGACUAAAUUGUAAUUUUACCAAAUUUAAAUGAUGACUUAAGGAUAAAAUUUUAAAAUAUUAUAAAGGGAAAAAUGGUCAAUUGGAAAGAGAGAGAAUUCUAGAAGGCAAUAAUGAUAUUAGAGAUAUUUUGAUAUUCUAUAAUUAUUUAAUUAGAUAAAUAUUAUUUUAUUAAUAUUUUAAUAAGAUAUUUUAAUAAGAUAUUUUAUUAUUAUUUUAUUAGUAUAUAAAGAAAGAAAGAUGAGGAAAUCUCAUCCAUCUUUUCCAUGCAACCAACGUUAGAAGAGAAGAAAAGAAAGAAAAUUCUCUUUUCUUUACAAUUUGGUCCUUUCACCAAAAAUUCACUAUUUUCACUUUGAAAUCAAAAGAAUUUCCAUAGCCAUUAAGAGAGAAAGAUGACAAGGAGACUCUGGGGAGCUAGAAUAUCAAGUUAGAUUCAAGAAAUAGAAGCUGGAGGAGAGAGAAAAUUCAAGUUAAAGAUUGAAAUCAAUAGGACAUGGUAAGAACAUGAAGAUUUCAAUAUAUUUUUAAGUUUGUUAUUAUUGAAAAAGCAUGGAAAUGAUAUUAUAAUAGAGUUUUCUUAUAUAAGGUUUUAUAUUCUUGAUAUUUUAGUGAAGGGAAGUAAGAGAAAGUGAUGAGAAAUAUUAUAGAGAAAGGGAAUAGGGUGUUAUAAACUUAGUAAUCAACAUUUUGCACUAAAACAGUUUUGGACAGUAGCAAUAGUCUAAUUUUGAAAAUUCACUAAAAAUUGUAGAGAUCAAAUUAGAGGUUAAAUAAUAUAUUAAAUUAAAUAUUUUUGAGUUUAGUUUCACAUAGAAAAAAUGGUAUAAGUAACGGAAUUGUAGAUUGUGAGAUAUAACAAUUUAUGUGAGGCAAGGUCAGAAUGAUUUUGGGUUCCCCUGUUCUAAAUUUGGAAAAUCAUAAAAAAUUUGAGAAACAUAAUUAGGGGCUUAAAUUUAUAUUUUUAAAUCCCCAAUAAGUCUAUUUUCAAUAUAAACAAAAAAUAACAUCAUCAGACUCCUGUACUAAGAGAUAAUUAAUUUUUAGUAAAGAAAGGUUGAAGCUGCCAAACAGUAGAAUAGAGAUAAAUUUGAAGAUUUUACUGUACUUAUUGGCUAAAGUAUAAAUUUUGGAAAUUUCAUGUAUAAAUAUAUUUGAGUAUAGUUUCAAUAACAUCAAGCGGAUCUUAAUUUGGAAUUCUGUAGCUCAAGAUAUAAAUAAUUUAGUGACUAUGACUCAAGGUGACAGCUUUGAAUGAACAUAUAAGUAAAUAGUGAAAUUAUAGAUAAUGUUACAUAUAAGCAUGUUAUAUAUAUUAAGGAUGUGGAAUGGAGAGGAGAAGGAGGAAAAUAAAUAUAUGAAUAUUCAGCUGGUAAGGGCUUACAUUUAAAAUGGAUAAUUUGCAUGCUUUAGAUUCAUGGACUAAAUUGAAUAAAAGUAAAAGUUUAAAGGGUAAUUUUGUAAAAAUGUCAAAAAUGAUCAAAUUGCAUGAAAUGAAUUGUUUUAUUGUCUAAGUUAAUAAAUUGAAUGAAAUUAUUAAUUUAGGUCAAGAUCAGAUGGAAAAUCGAUGAAAAUGAAAAAUUACCAAAUGCCCCUGAAUCUUGGUAUUUCUGCAAUUUAGUUAGGUAAGUUCAUAUGGUUGAACUUUCAUGACUAUUUGUUAAAUUAGGAAUGAUAUAAUGUAUUAUUUCAUAUGUUUUCUAUUGAAUUAUGAAUAUUGUUAAAUUAUGGAAAUCGGAUCAAAAUUUCAAAUUGAACAGAACGCUGAAUUGAAUAUGAUCAUUUAGUGAUCAGUGAUGAAUUGAUAGAUAAGACCAUGGUUGGGUCAUGGCAAUAUAUGUUUAAGACCAUAGCUAUGUUAUGGCAUCCUAAUGAUAAGACCAUAUCUGGGAUAUGGCACUACAAGUGUAAGACCAUGGCUGGGCCAUGGGAAUACAUGUGUAAGACCAUAGUUGGACUAUGGCAUCAUGCCAGAAACGAGUAAGACCAUAUCUGAAAGACGUUAUGGCAUCACGAUUCAGAUAUGUAAGACUAUAGUUGAAAGAUACUAUGACAAUAUGAUGAGAAAUGAAUAAGACCAUGAUUGAAAGAUACCAUGGCAAAUGACAAAAAACGAAUAAGACCAUGGUUGGAAGAUACCAUGGCAACAUGACAAAAAAUGAAUAAAACCAUGGUUGAAAGAUACCAUGGAAACAUGACAGGAAAUGAAUAAAACCAUAGUUGGAAGACACUAUGGCAUCAUGUCGAAGAUAAAUAAGAUUGUGGAUGGGAGACGCUAUGACAUCUGUUGAACAAUUAAUAUUCAGACAAGUGCCAAGCUAUUGAUUGAAUGGUAAUAUAUUUAUUUAUAUGAUGCAUUGAAUUGGUAAGUAUUUAAUUGAAUUUUUUUUUAAAUGAUAUGUAAAUCCUAGUAAUGCCCCAAAACCCGGUUUUGGCGACGGAUACGGGUUAGAGGUGUUAGAAAACACUCAAAGAAAACCAUCGAAGCCAACUCGGAAGUGGAUUUCCAUCAAGAUUGAAGAUCUCCUUUUAAUUUCUUCUGAAGUUUUUAUGAGUUUCUUUAUUUCUUGUGGUUUUUCUAACUUUGAGAUGUUUUUAUUCAAUAUUAUGAACUAAUUCCCUAGAUACCUAGGGAGGAUGAAACCUACGAAAAAUUCUAUUAUUUAAUUUAUGUUUUGCAUGAUAAAUACUUGAUUCUUAUUCUCAAUUAUGUGUGCUUAUUUCUUGUUUUAAUAUUUCCGGGAUAUUAAUUCAUAUUUAAUGUGCUUAAUUCAGUGGAGCAAAAGUCCUUAUUUAAGAGUAGAUCUAGCAUAAUUGAGUGGAGUUGCAUGCAAUCCUAAAAAUAAGACGACAUAAAUCUACCGAAUUAGAGGCAAAUCUAAUAGAGGAAUCCAUAAAUUGAGUUAAUGCGACAAUAUGGGCUUUAAUUAGAAAGAGAUUUCAAUUAAUCAACCUAGAAUCAGUUGCUUUUACUCUCGAAAGAGAUAUUAGUAUAAUUUAGGGAUUUCUAUGGAUCAAGACACCAAGUGAAUAAACCAUUUAAAUCAAAUUAAUAAUAAUAGAAUGAGUCUAGGUGGAUUCUUUCUUGGGUGUUGUCUCUCUCGUUGGUUAAUAUUCGAUUAUUUCCUUGAUUAAUUCUCUAUUGUGUUCUUAGUUAAAUUAGUUUAGUAAUUUUAGCUUUAAAGCCCAUCACUCCAAAUUAUCGGCUGAAUAAUAAGAAAACAGUAAUUAUUAAUACAUUUAGUCCCCGUGGAUAUGAUAUCUUUACUUAUUGUAGUUAUACUAUUGUUCGAUAAGUGCACUUGCCUUUGUCGUAUUUAUAGUUAGUUUUGUGACUAUCAAGUUUUUGGCAUUGUUGCCGAGGACUAAAAUAUUAGGAACACUUUAUUUUUAUUAAUUUACCCAUUUUUUAUAUGUUUUUGUUUUUAUUUUAAUUUUUACCUUUUAAUUUUUCUUUUAUUUGCUUUUGGCAGGAUCCUUUAGUUUAUGACUUGAAGAAACUCGUCAAGACCAUUACUGUUUGAUAGCGAAGUUGAAAGUAUAGCUCGUAGAAAUCGUAGAGAUGCAAGGCAGAGUCGACAAAAUUUAGUAGAUGAACAAAAGGACAUUAUUAUUACUAAGGAGAUAGACGAUAAUUAGAAUAUUCAACUACCUCUUGCAGCAGCUUCUAAUCCACGUACUAUGUACGAUUAUGCCAAGCCUACUCUGAAUAGGGCUGAAUCGAGUAUUGUGCGACCCACCAUUGCUACAAACAGUUUCAAACUAAAGACAAACACAAUUCAAAUGGUACAACAGUUUAUGCAGUUCGAAGGUUUGUAAGAUUAAGAUCCAAAUAUUCAUUUCACAAAUUUCUUGGAAAUCUACGACACUUUCAAGAUAGAUGGCGCCACUGAUGACGCCAUUCGUUUACAAUUAUUCCUUUUCUUGUUGAGGAACAAAGCUAAACAAUGAUUAAAUACUUUACCACGAGGUUCCAUAAUUACAUGGGCUCAAAUAACCAAAAAGUUUCUGCUAAAAUACUUUCCACUAGCUAAGACAACCAAGUUGAGGAAAGAUAUCUCUUCCUUUUGUGUAAAUCGAUUUAGAUAAGUUAUACAAUGCAUGAAAGAGGUAUAAGGACUUAUAGAGAAGGUGCCCUCACCAUGGGUUACCUUUAUGGCUACAAGUUCAAACCUUCUACAAUGGUUUGAAUCCCUUAACGAGGUAGUUAGUUGACGCAGAAGCCGGUGGAACCUUAAAUAAUAAAACACUCAAAAUGGCUUAUGAAUUUAUUGAAGAGAUGACACUGAAUAAUUAUCAGUAGCAAGCCAUGAGGACAAAGCCGAUCAAAGCAGCUAUUGUUUUUAAUUUAGAUGUAAUCACCAUGUUAUUGAAUCGGGUAGAUUUGCUUCAUAAGAAAAUUGAUGGUUUAUAUCUUUUUACAUAGGUACAUCUGAUGAUGCAAUGUGAUAUAAAUGGAGGUGGAAUGAGCAAUCCAGAAUGUUUACCCUUUGGUCCUAGCAUAGAGAAGGAGCAAGUCAAUUAUAUGGGUAAUAAUUCUAGGUCUAAAAAUAACCUUACAGUAAUAACUAUAAUACAGGUUGGAGGAACCAUUCCAUUUUCUUUUAGGGUGGUCAAGGAAAUCAGAUAGCACAACCCAUUAUAGGCUUCCAACAACCACCUUAUCAGCAAGAGAAGAAGUCAAACCUUGAGGAGAUGUUUGAAAAGUUUAUCUCGAUUUUAGAAACUCAUUUCCAAAACACUAAGGUAGUACUGAAAAAUCAACAAGCAUCGAUUCAAUGGCUCAAAAAUCAAAUCGGUCAACUUGCUAAAUUAAUCUCAGAAAGACCACAAGGUAGUUUGCCUAACAAUACUGAAAAUAACCCAAUGAGCAACUUUAUGCAAUUACUGUUUGAGAUGAAGAAGGGUUAGUUGAAUUUGAAUAAAAAUCGAGGCAAGAAAUUGUGGAGAAUAACAAUAAGGUUGAGGUAAGCCAGAAAAAGCAAAAGUCAGUUGCCAAAGAAUAUAAACCUCUAGUUCUAUAUCCUAACGCGACGAAAAGAGACCACACAAAUGAACAAUUUGGUAAAUUUCUUAAACUCCUAAAAAAAUUACAUAUUAACUUACCGUUUGUUGAAGCUCUUUUGCAGAUGCCCAAUUAUGUCAAAUUUUUAAAGGAGCUGUUGGCAAACAAAUGGAAGUUAGAUGAUUCGUUGACUGUGGAACUUAAUGCAGUUUGCUCAGUCAUCUUACAAAAUAAAUUACCCAACAAACUGAAAGAUAAAGGGAGUUUUACUAUUCCUUGUUUAAUUAGUAGUUUAAAUAUUGAUAAUGCCUUGGCUGAUUUAGGGGCUAGUACUAAUGUCAUGCCCUAUAAAAAUGUUUAAUUUACUAGGUCUUGGGAAACCCAAACAAACUAGGAUGUGUAUUCAAUUAGAGGAUAGAAUCAUUAGAUAUCCUAGGGGUGUUAUUAAGGAUGUGCUUAUUAAAAUCGAUAAAUUCAUAUUCUCGUUGACUUUGUUUUGUUGGACAUGGAUGAGAGGUAGAAAGGUACCUUUAAUUUUAGGACGACCUUUUUUAGCAACUAUUAGGACUAUAAUAGGUGUUAGUAUGGGUGAACUUGUACUUCGUGUAGGUGACAAAAUGAUUACUUUCUAAGCUCGUGAUUCUGUGAGAACAUCUAGUGAUCAAGAUGAUUUUGAAUCUUCUGUUAAUGUUAGUGAUCAUGUGGCUCAACCUUUUUUGCAGAAAACUCCUCGAAAAAAUGUAAUGGAGCCACGUUUUAGUCAAUGCAACAGAAAAAAAUGACUUAUGAAGAACAAAUGUUACAAAUCGAUGAACUAGAUGAAUGGCAGACACAUGUUAAGGAGAAACUGAGAAAGCACGAUGAAGAGCAAAAGCAACUCCAUGAUGAGCAUAUGAAUGGGCUGAACCAAUUUAAGGUUGGGGACAAGGUACUGUUGGACAAAACAGAUGCACAAAUUGCCCCUUCAGAGCUUGAUGCAAAUAAAUCAAACCCAUUUACGGUACUGAACGUCUUCCCCUACAGUACAGUCAAGGUAACUCAUUCUGAAUUUGGCACACUUAAGGUAAACAAUACUCGACUUAGAUCUUAUCUUGGUAGAAUAAUUGAUAGCAAGAAAGAGGAGCCUUGGCUCCAUAAACCACUGUAACUGUGCGUACAAGGUAAGUCGAGCUUAGACUUUAAAUAAACGCUUCUUAGGAGGCAACCCGAGUGUCUAACAUUCUGUUAAUUCUUUUAACUUUUUCAUGUUAUUUUCAAAUUAAUUAAAUUAAAUUUUAAAUUUAAAAAAAUACUUUGACCUAUACGGCCUGGACACACGGGCAUGUCCCAGGUCGUGUGUAUAAUGGGGCAUUCGAUAGUGAGUUACACAGCCUGGCGACAUGGCUAUGUAACCCACCCGGCCUGGACACAUGGGCGUGUCCUUGGCUGUGUGAGUCCUGGGACUUAAUUUUCCAAAAAUUUGAUGUUUACAUGGCCUAAGGUAGUCCACACGAUCGUAUCCUAGGCCGUGUGAGCACUAGAGGUAAUUUUUUCAAUUUAAUUUCAAGUCAGUGAGUAACACGGGCAAGAGAUGCGCCAUAUGCAAGACACGACCGAGACACACAGGCGUAGAAGAAGCGAAUGAGAUCACACAUGGCCUGGACACAUGGGUGUGUCUGAGGUCGUGUAAAGACUGGGCUCACAUUUCACAUUACACACGGGUUAAAGGAGUCACACACGGGCAUGUGACACAACCGUGUAGCCCAACGCAAGCCUUCACAUGACCGUGCCACCCUUUUAAAGCAAACCCUAAUUUUUAUUUUUCUAGUUUGUCUUGUUCUCCCUCCAACCUAGCCACCACUCACUCAAGAUUCCUCCCUCCUUUACCAGUCUAACCACCGGCCACGCGACCAGCCCCUCCUUCACACACUGCACCACCGCGCAACCUCCUUUCUUCCUACGCUACCAACUCCGACCCCGCUCAUCCUUUCUCCCUUCUUUCCCCUUUCCUCUUCUUUGUUUUCCCCAAUAGCCCACACCCUUCCCCUCGACCAGUCCUCACUCAUCCUUUUCUCUCCUCUUUUAUGUUGCACCACAACAAGCCCCCUCUUUCCCGUCCGUCGACCAUCGCGCGAACCUUCAGCCACUAUCUCACCGUCAAUCCUCUCUAUUUCCUUUUUUUAAUUCUUUAUUAUUUUAUCAUUUUAUCAUUUUAUUAUUUUCUUUAAUUAAUUAAUUAAUUAGUUUUAUUUUUCUUCUAUUUUAUUUAAUUUAUUUAUUCCAUUUAAUAAUUUUAUUAUUAUUUGAUUAUAUUUUUUCCUACUACCUUAGUUAUUUUAUGAUUAGUUUAGUUUAAUACAUUAUUGUUUUUAUAUGUUAUUUGUCUUAUUUAUUUUCUACUUAGUAUUAUUUCUAUCAUAUAUUUUUUGCGUUUCUUGAGUAUUAGUUAUUUUCUUAAUAGACAUUGUUAGUUUUUAUUUCACUUUAUUUUUAGUAUUAAGUUAUCAUUGUUUUUAUCAUGUUACUUGUUGGUGAAUUCAUUCUUGGGUUAGUUGCUCAGUAUUGUGGUUUAGGUUUUCACUUUGUUUCUGUCUCUGUCAUGCCAUCUAUUGGACUUAUUAUUUAUUCUUUUUAUUUUGUUAUUACUUUUUACUUUUCUUUUAGCAGUUAUUCAAUUAUUUUGCCGAUCAAUGUUUAGUCUUGUGAUUUCAUUUUAGUUUGAUUCAAUUUUUGAUUUGAUUAAGUUUUAUGAUGUUGAGUUGUAUUUUGUCUUAGUUCUUCUGCUGACAUUUAGCUAUUAUUUAUUCUUUUUAGGCAUUAUGACGAACACUAGAGGCAAGUUUGAGGUCAUCGUUUCUACUUCGAAAAAGCAGAAAACUUCAGGCAUGACAUCAUCGUCGAGCGCUUCCCUUGAUGCCCACUACCCCUAUCUCCAAUUUCCACAGGGUCCUCAGGAGGAUUUAUAUUAGCAUCUUCGACUGAGGCCAUUUGGAUUAGGUCAUUGUAUUGAUUAAUCCAUUAUAUUGAUUGGGCUGCUUUAGAGCAGGUCCAGUUAGCUUAUUAUGUCCGUGCCAUCAUUGCUACACCUCCUUGGGACCAGUUCUUUUCCAUCAUCAAGCCCGUAUACUCGAAGUUGAUUUUAGAGUUUUGUUUGACAUUUAUCCUACAACAGGUGAUAACGACCAAUGAUAAGUUGCACAUAAUUACCUUCAGACUCGGUGAUAUGGCGCGACAUAUGAGUGUCCCAAAGUUUGAAGUUGCAUUGGGACUUUACACUGUAGAGUUUAUGAGUGCCAAGGUGUUCCUUCGAUUAUAUUGGCACAUCCACUACUCGCCGUCUCUUUGCUGGGUAGAUCUUAUGGUGAGCACGAUGCCUUAUGAUCCAAGUCGGUCGAAGGGGACUUAUCUUCCUCCGACCUUGCACUACGUUCAUGCCAUCUUGGCUCACACAUUAAUCAGUAGGAGGGAGAGCACCAGAGUCGUCGAUACAACCGAUGCAUAUUUUUUGUAGAACAUUGCCACGGAGCGCACCUUUGAUCUUGUCUAUUUCAUCGCCCUCGUUGUUUCUCAUUAGAUAGAGCACAGUAGAAGGGGCCCUAUCUGUUUAGGCCCUUACGUGACUCGACUCGCACGUCACUUCGGUCUCCUCGACAAACCGGAACAGUCAUCCUCCCUUACACUAGUUGGACAGAUGUCCCGCAGGGAUUUUCGAGUAUGACUCACAUAAAGAUGGUCGAGCCGGCGGCUCACAAUAUUGAUGCCUCUGACGAUGAUGUUUUAUUUGUUUUAUAUUUAUUUUUAUCUUUAUUUUUAUUUUUAGUUGUUUUAUUUUUAUUUUCUUAGACUUAUUUGGUUUAUUAUCUUUUGAACUAUAUUUUUAUUUUUAUGGUUGUUUCUAAUUGAGUUGUAACAUUUUAAUCUUCUUCAUUAUUUGUGUUCAUUUUCUUAUUAGUUUGCUCGGAAUCAUGCAGUACAUUUAGAUUUGCUUCCAAUUCUACUUUUCAUUAUUCUGGCGAUUUCUUUCAAUAUUCAAGACAGUUUCAGUUUUCUCUCUCUCUUAUGAUAUCCUACUUAUAUUGUGAUUAUAUUUGUUUGUACAUUGAGGACAAUGUACAUCUUAAGUGUGGGAGGUUAUUUAUAUAAUUAUUAGAAAGUCCCUGAAUUAUGUCUUGUAUUUAAGUACUUUUCUCAUACUUACAUUAGAAUAAUUUUUUGUCAAUUGGGAUUUUUGUUUAUGUGUUCUAGAUUAAUAUGUAGAUAUUUGUGCAUUGGUUGAUUUGAACUCUAAGACAUGAAAGAAUCAAGCAUGAUAAUUUAUUUUUCAAAAUUAAAAAAUUUUUAGGUUGUUUCUCUAAAUUGAAGUUUUAUCUUGAAGUUUGAGAUUUGCAAGUUUGACAUUAAAAUCAUAAUUUUUUGUGAGAUUUUGAACCUUUAGAGCAUAUAUUUUUCAUGCUUAUUCUAUUAUUGGUUAUGAGUGUGGCAACUUGAUUUGUUAUUCUAGAAUUUGAUUCUAUUAUACAUGUCGAGACCACAACUUUGAUUUGAUAUAUUGAGAUGAUAAACGCACUUAGGUUUUAGCCCACCUAUCCUAUAAAAAGCCUACUUUUUUAAUUAACCCUUAGUAGACCCCGUUGAGCCUAACAUACUGUUUCUUGAUUAACCCAUUAAUGUUAAUCCAUAACUCAUUUUCUUCGUUGCGAAUUUUUCCCCGUUUUAUUGAUUCCCUUUUUGUCGAGAUUUGAUUUGGUUAGUUGCCUAACUAUGCUUUUCUAUUUGAUUUGUUGAAUUAUUUCUUAUUGUUCUAGAAAGAAAAAAAGAAAAAAAUUAGAAAAAAAAUUAUUUAUCGAUUAUUAUUUAGUUCCAUGUUGGUUGAGCUUGGACAAUUGAAUUCAUAUUUUGAGAAGAAGCUCGUUUUUAUUUUUGAAUAGUUCUUGAUUGGUACACUUAUUUUUAAUUCAGCAUUUGUUUAUUUUUUCUAGUUUGGUAAUUUAUCAACUCGAUCUCGAUCAUAACCAACUUUCUUGACAUUUAUCCACACCCUUAACCUAAGCCCCAUCACAACAUCUUAAAGACCUUUUGAUUAGUGUGUCAUAUCAUUUUAUAGUGGUAGAGAUUUGAUUUUCAAGCAAGCCUAUGGUAAUGACGUUUAUUGUUCGACUUUCGAGUGCAUAUUGUUGAACUUUAAACACUUUAAAUACUUGAGUGAAUCUUUAAUGAGGAUGCAAUUCUUGUUAAUUUUGAAUUAAAGAUAACUACUUAAAUAAGGGGAGACACAUAUUUUUUCGUGUUUAAAAAUGUUAGCUUGGAUUGUUUGAGACUUUAGUGCCCUUUUAGCUGACUUGCCAAUGCAUGAUUAUUUGUGAAUUAUUUUGAGACAUUAUUGAUGGGAAUUACAAGUUGAGAAAUAUUAACUUAAAUGUGAGUUGAGGAUUUUGCUUGAAGACAAGCAACACUUAAGUGUGAGGAUAUUUGAUAAAUGAUAAAACUAACAUAUUUUAAUCUCAUUCUUAAUACGUUGUUGGAUGAUUAUUUAUGCAAAUUGGUGAAUUUGAUACUCCUAAUCCUUUUAAUUCAUAUCUUACACUUAGGUGAGCAUUUGGGAGUAAAAUGAGAAAAAAUUAGAGAAAAAAAGUAGAAUUUAAGAGCCACACGGGCUGGGCACACGCCCAUGUGACCCAUACGGGCUAGACACACUCCCAUGUGCCAGCAGUGUCAAUUUCGCACCCUACUUCCCAAAUACGCGAAAAAACACAAUUUUUGGGCUUUAUGAGGAUUCUAAAUUCUAUAAAUACCAAUUAGAAGAAGAGAUAUGGGAGCCAUUAGAGAAGAUCAAAGAAAACACUAGAAAAACACCAUCAGAGCCAACUCAGAAGCGGAUCUCCAUAAGAUUGAAGAUCUCCUUUUAAUUUCUUUUGAAAUUUUUAUGGGUUUUUUGUUUCUUGUGGUUUUUUUUCUACUUUAAGAUUUUUUAUUCAGGAUUAUGAACUAAUUCCGUAGAUACCUAGGGAGGAUGAAACCUAUGACAAAUUAUAUUAUUCAAUUUUUGUUUUAUAUGAUAAAUACUUGAUUCUUGUUCUCAAUUAUGUGUGCUUAUUUCUUAUUUUAAUAUUUUUAGGAUAUUAAUUCAUGUUUAAUGUGCUUUAAUUCAAUAGAGCAAAAGUCCCUGUUUAAGAGUAGAUCUAGCAUAGUUGAGUGGAGUUGCAUGCAAUCCUAAAAAUAGGACGACAUAAAUCUACCAGAUUAGAGGAAAAUCUAAUAGGGGAAUCCAUAAAUCGAGUUAAUGUGACUAUAUGAGUUUUAAUUAGAAAGAGAUUUCAAUUAAUCAACCUAGAGUCAGUUGCAUUUACUCCCAAAAAAGAUAUUAGCAUAAUUUAGGGAUUUCUACAUAUCAAGACAUCAAGUGAAUAAAUCGUUUAAAUCAGAUUAAUAAUAAUAGAACGAGUCUAGGUGGAUUCUUUCCUGGGUAUUGUCUCUCUUAUUGGUUAAUAUUUGAUUAUUUCCUUGAUUCCUUCUAUGUUACGUUCUCAGUUAAAUUAGUUUAGUAAAUUUAGCUUUAAAACCCAUCAUUCCAAAUUGCUGACUGAAUAAUAAGAAAACGGUAAUUACUAAUACUUUUAGUCCUCAUAGAUAUGAUAUUUGUACUGAUCGCAGCUAUACUAUUGUUCGAUAUGUGCGCUUGCCUUUGUCCUAUUUAUAGUUAGUUUUGUGACUAUCAGUGAGCUCAACUUCUUUUUGGGGCUCUAAAUCAAGCAAAUUCAUAAUGGCAUCUUCAUCAAUCAAGCCAAAUACAUCAAGGAAAUGCUCAAGAAAUUUAAAAUGGAGGACUUGAAGCCUCAAUCAACACCAAUGAGCACUUCAACAAAGCUUGAUAAAGAUAAAAAAGGUAAAUGUGUUGACACUAAACUUUAUAGGUCUAUGAUAGGAUCCUUGUUUUAUCUUACCACAAGUAGACUGAUUAUAAUGUUUAGUGUUUAUUUAUGCUCUCAAUUUUAAUCAUUUCCUAUUGAGUCACAUUUACAAGUAAUUAAGAGAAUCUUUAGGUACCUUAAGGACACUCCAAACCUAGGAAUUUGGUAUCCUAAAGAUUUAUCAUUUAUUUUGCAUGCUUACUCUAAUGUAGAUUUUGGAGGAUGCAAGUUAGAUAGAAAAAACACUUCUGGAACAUGUCUAUUCUUAGGAAACAUGUUUGUUUCUUGGUUCUCUAAGAAACGAAAUACUGUAGCUUUGUCCACAACCGAAGUGGAAUAUGUUGCCGUAGGCAGUUAUUGUGCUCAAAUUCUUUGGAUGAAGCAACAAUUAGUUGACUAUAGAAUUGAUAUGGAUCACAUUCCUAUAAGGUGUGAUACUAGUACUAUUUACUUUACCAAAAAUCUCAUCCAACACUCUAGAACAAAGCACAUAGAAAUAAGACACCAUUUCAUUAGAGAUCAUGUGCAAAGAGGUGACAUAAUACUAGAGUUUGUAGAUACUUUGCAUCAACUAGUCGAUAUUUUUACAAAGCCUUUAGAUAAUGACAGAUUUUGGAUAAUUAAGGGAGAGUUAAGACUAAUGAACAUGCCUUUAUAAGCUUCUUGUCUAAUCUUUUUGACAUUCUUGGACACUUGUUUUCUUCUAUGCAUGCUUUGCGUACAUUACUCGACUAUACUUGUAAACUUGUAAAUUCAUUAUUUCUCUUCUUCUUCUUUUUUUCAUGUUGAAAUGUUGUUACUAUGUGAUAUAAUUAAAUUAGUUAGUAUUUUAAAUCAUAGAUAAAAAUAUGAGAAUGUUAGUAAAUGUAUUUUUCACCUUUUGAUUGCAUUCAAGCAUGUUUUUCUUAAUUUUCUUGUAGAUAUUUGUUUAAACAUGGUAUUAUAUGGUUUUACAUAUGUUAUCUAUUUGUUUUUGUACCUUUUUUUCAUGUAUUUUUUCAUUUUUCUUUUGUUUCUAUUUUUAUUCUUAUGUCUCCAAAUUUUUAAGCAUUGUGCACUUAUUCUCCUAGUUUUUCAAGCAUGCAUUCUUUUUCAUAUUACAAAAAGGGGAAGAAAAAUGCAAAUUUUGCAUAAUAUAGUUUUCAACUUAAUCUUAAAGCCAAAUUCUUUAAGUUGGAAAUUUAAAUGAAAUGACAUCUAAAAUAUUUUUUUUCAAAAAAGGAGCUUAUUUUGAAAAUAAUGUUUAAGAUAGCGGGAGUUAGAAUUUUUUUUUCAAAAUGCUUUUGUUAUAUCAAAAAGGGGGAGAUUGUUAGCUCUAUUUUUUCAAGUAUUUUGAUAUAACAAAAAGUAUAUUAAAAAUUCCCUACUUAAAUCUGUAAAAAUUGUUUAUAAGUCCUUAAAAUUAUUUCCAAAGUGUUGGACAAAAUAAAUUGUUAAAAGGCCUUGAUUGACUUAUUUUUUAACGAGUUUUUGAAGUCUGAAGAACUUCUACCAAAACUUAGGUGGACAAGUAUUGGUAGAACUUAAGAUGAAAAGAACUUGAAAAGGCUACAAAAUUCUACCGAUAGAACUGGGAGUUCGACUGAUACAACCCAAACUUCUAUCGGUAGGACGCACUCCAGUAAGCAAGGUAGUUUUGGCUUGGGACUUUUAUCGAUACCUUGGUCCAAUCCGCCGAUACAACCAAAUGCUACUAAUACCGUGAGGACUUCUAUCGAAACAAGUUAAGCCAGUAGCCAAAGUUCAGCAUCUCUUGCAUUUCUAUUGAUACCUUGAGGACUUCUACCGAAACAAGUCAAGUUAGUAGCCAAAGUUCAGCAUCCCCUGCACUUCUAUUGAUACUUUGAUGAGUUCUACCGAUACCAAAUGAAACCCUCAGAGUUCUACCAGUACAAGAUAACUUAUACUGAUAGAACGAGCCCAAUGGUCAUAUUUUGGAAAGACUUCUACCAAUACAAAUUUCCUUCUACCGAUACAACAAAACUGCAGACUACAGUUAAUGCUGAUUUUUAUAACUGCAAUGACUCCAUUUUGUUUCUAACGACUACAAACGUCCACAAUGUUGUUAAAGGACUUAAAUACAAUGUCAAGGCUCCUCAUUGAAGUCAACAAAGACAAAAAACAAGUGUCUAACUUCCAAGAACUCAAUUUUCAAUUUUUCUCAAUUUUUUACUAAAUAUUUCUUGUACACACUUGUGGAUUAAGUUUUCUAUCAUUAUUUCAAGUGUUGUAACUUUGUGUGAGAGUGCUUAAUUGUUGAUUAUCUACCUUUUAAAGGUAUCAUCUUAUUCAUUAUUAUUUUUCUCUCAUUUAUGAAGUGUUACUUAAGGUUUUUGGUAGAAAACCUUAAGGGAAAGUGGUUCUAUCUUACCUUUAAAAAUAUAGGAAUUUGUAAGAUUAAACAUUGUUCUUAAAAGUUUAAAUCUAGUGGAUUUGGGAAAUCCUUAGUUGAGGAAAACGAAGGUAAUGGAUGUAGACAAUUGAGAUCAAACCACUAUAAAUACUUGAGUCAUUUGAUUUUUUCCCUUUCCUGAAAACAUUUUAAUACGCCAAUUCACCCCCUCUUAAUAUAUUUAGAUCUUAACACCUCUAUUUUAGUUUUGCUCAUCAAUCUUAAAAAUUCACAACCCUAAAUAAAAAAUACUAAAAAUAAAAAGAAAAUACUUCAAAAAUGUCAAACCACUUGUUUCAACCAAAAUAAAAAGAAAUCCAUAAUCAAUCAUUCUAACAAAACUCAUGUAAUUUUUUGUCGAUAGAGCUCUUUUACAAUAACCCAUCAAGCGACAGUGUAUGAAAAGAUAAAAGGACCAAUGACAUAUUGGUUCAAAGCAUUGUCAAUUGAUAUUUCUAAAUUUUGGAUUUGAAAAACUCACCUCGAUCUUUAUUGGAAGAAGCCAUAGAUGUCAA
This 31356-nucleotide long non-coding RNA is filed under the name Gossypium barbadense (sea-island cotton). Its description in RNAcentral is "long non-coding RNA (GBAR_LNC008232)". The record is from RNAcentral. Lineage: Eukaryota; Viridiplantae; Streptophyta; Magnoliopsida; Malvales; Malvaceae.